UACGUAGGUGGCAAGCGUUGUCCGGAUUUAUUGGGUUUAAAGGGUGCGUAGGCGGCUUUGUAAGUCAGUGGUGAAAUACUCCAGCUUAACUGGAGGGGUGCCAUUGAUACUGCGGAGCUUGAGUACAGAUGAGGUAGGCGGAAUUGACGGUGUAGCGGUGAAAUGCGCAGAUAUCAGGAGGAACACCGGUGGCGAAGGCGGUUCUCUGGGAAUAUCCUGACGCUGAGGAGCGAAAGUGUGGGGGAGCGAACAGG
RNAcentral lists this ribosomal RNA (254 nucleotides) under uncultured bacterium. RNAcentral's name for it is "partial 16S ribosomal RNA". It matches the Rfam family "Bacterial small subunit ribosomal RNA", at positions 524 to 776 of the family's 1533-position model. The record is from RNAcentral.